GAAUGACUUUUUCACCCAAAAGUGCUUUUCUCUUAAGGAACCAAGAAUAGGCUCCUUUUCUCUUAAAAUUUCUCCAUCAGAAAAGUGCUUCUCUCUAGAUGGAGAAGCUAAAAAAUUCUCCUUUUCUUCUACUAGAACUGCUUUUGGAUGAAAAUUGACCAAAUUAACCUGUCUUCUCCCCCAAACGUUUUCCCCCUCUGCUGGUUCCCUAAAUGUUCUUUCCCCUCUGCUGGUGAAAUUGGAGCUUUAUACCCGAUUUCUUUUCCUCAUUUUCGGCUUUCAAAGCUCUAUUUUCUGUUCUUUGUUCCUCUUCCGCAGCAGAUUUUAUGGAAUACGAAGAUAUUAACUGGGCAUAUGAGAAUAUUAUUGAUUCAGAAAAUGUGCAUGGUUGAGAAAGUGAUGAUGACGACGACGACGAUGGUGAUGAUGACGGUGAAUCAAACAAUUCAAGUGGUUUUGAAAUGGAAUUAACAAGAGAUGCUAUAACUUCUAGUUUAAUGAAUUCACUUUAAAUUGUAAAUGCUAUUGUAAAAUUUUUAGUAUUUAUAUUUGAUAUAUAAAUAUUAUCCCUUUUUAAAA
This is a long non-coding RNA of Gossypium raimondii (Peruvian cotton), 579 nucleotides long. RefSeq lists it as uncharacterized. NCBI's taxonomy places the organism in Eukaryota, Viridiplantae, Streptophyta, Magnoliopsida, Malvales, Malvaceae. The transcript is spliced from 2 exons. The record is from RefSeq and is a predicted model, not a curated record.